CACCACUUAGUUUACUAAAAAUAGAGGCUUUGGGGGCCCCAGAGAUCUGUGGCCUGUGUGGCAUUUUGGUGCAGAUAGCGGUGA
RNAcentral lists this transfer RNA (84 nucleotides) under Ascidiella aspersa. Its description in RNAcentral is "transfer RNA-Pro". Lineage: Eukaryota; Metazoa; Chordata; Ascidiacea; Phlebobranchia; Ascidiidae. The record is from RNAcentral.